CCUACGGGAGGCUGCAGUGAGGAAUAUUGGUCAAUGGGCGGGAGCCUGAACCAGCCAAGUCGCGUGAAGGAAGAAGGUACUUAGUAUUGUAAACUUCUUUUGUCGGGGAACAAAGGCGGAGACGCGUCUCCGGAUGAGUGUACCCGAAGAAAAAGCAUCGGCUAACUCCGUGCCAGCAGCCGCGGUAAUACGUAGGGGGCAAGCGUUAUCCGGAUUCACUGGGUGUAAAGGGAGCGUAGACGGCGGCGCAAGUCUGGAGUGAAAGCCCGGGGCCCAACCCCGGGACUGCUCUGGAAACUGCGGCGCUGGAGUACGGGAGGGGCAGGCGGAAUUCCUGGUGUAGCGGUGAAAUGCGUAGAUAUCAGGAGGAACACCGGCGGCGAAGGCGGCCUGCUGGACCGUGACUGACGUUGAGGCUCGAGAGCGUGGGGAGCAAACAGGAUUAGAUACCCUUGUAGUC
This 460-nucleotide ribosomal RNA is filed under the name uncultured bacterium. RNAcentral's name for it is "partial 16S ribosomal RNA". It matches the Rfam family "Bacterial small subunit ribosomal RNA", at positions 338 to 795 of the family's 1533-position model. The record is from RNAcentral.